This 803-nucleotide ribosomal RNA is filed under the name uncultured bacterium. RNAcentral's name for it is "bacterial SSU rRNA". It matches the Rfam family "Bacterial small subunit ribosomal RNA", at positions 75 to 893 of the family's 1533-position model. The record is from RNAcentral.
GGAGCUUGCUUUAUAUAACUUAGCAGCGAACGGGUGAGUAACACGUAGAUAAUCUAUCCUAUACUGGGGGAUAGCCCGAUGAAAGUUGGAUUAAUACCGCAUAUAGCUAUAUAGUUGCAUGAUUAUGUAGUGAAAGAUUUAUUGGUAUAGGAGGAGUCUGCGGCACAUUAGCUAGUAGGUGAGGUAAAGGCUUACCUAGGCGACGAUGUGUAGCCGGUCUGAGAGGAUGAACGGCCACAAUGGAACUGAGACACGGUCCAUACUCCUACGGGAGGCAGCAGUGGGGAAUAUUGCACAAUGGGGGAAACCCUGAUGCAGCAACGCCGCGUGAGUGAAGAAGGUUUUCGGAUUGUAAAGCUCUGUUAGCAGGGAAGAGGAAGGACGGUACCUGCAGAGGAAGCCACGGCUAACUACGUGCCAGCAGCCGCGGUAAUACGUAGGUGGCAAGCGUUGUUCGGAAUAACUGGGCGUAAAGGAUGCGUAGGCGGUUAAACAAGUUAUAUGUUAAAUAUAUAGGCUUAACCUGUAGAAAGCAUAUAAAACUGUUUAACUAGAGUGCAGGAGAGGUAAGUGGAAUUCCUAGUGUAGCGGUGAAAUGCGUAGAGAUUAGGAAGAACACCAGUGGCGAAGGCGACUUACUGGACUGUAACUGACGCUGAGGCAUGAGAGCAUGGGGAGCAAACAGGAUUAGAUACCCUGGUAGUCCAUGCUGUAAACGAUGGGUACUAGGUGUGGGUUGUGAAUAACAAUUCGUGCCGUCGCAAACGCAAUAAGUACCCCGCCUGAGGAGUACGAUCGCAAGA